GGGGUUUCGCCCCAGUAACGGCGAGUGAAGCGGCAACAGCUCAAAUUUGAAAUCUGGCUUCUUGGGCGUCCGAGUUGUAAUUUGUAGAGGGAGUCUCGGGUUAGGGGUCGGUCCAAGUGCCUUGGAACAGGAUACCGCAGAGGGUGAGAGUCCCGUAUCCGGCCGACGCCCGCGCCCGUGUGAGGCCCCUUCGACGAGUCGAGUUGUUUGGGAAUGCAGCUCUAAAUGGGUGGUAAAUUCCAUCUAAAGCUAAAUACCGGCCAGAGACCGAUAGCGCACAAGUAGAGUGAUCGAAAGAUGAAAAGCACUUUGAAAAGAGAGUCAAACAGUACGUGAAAUUGUUGAAAGGGAAGCGCAUGGGGGCAGACUUGACCGCGGGAUUCAGCCGUCCUUCUGGCGGGUGCACUUCCCCGCGGGCAGGCCAGCAUCGGUUUCGGGGGCCGGACAAAGGCGACGGGAAUGUGGCUCCUCUCGGGGAGUGUUAUAGCCCGGCGUGCAAUGCGGCCACCUGGGACCGAGGACCGCGCUUCGGCAAGGAUGCUGGCGUAAUGGCCUCAUACGGCCCGUCUUGAAACACGGACCAAGGAGUCUAACAUCUAUGCGAGUGUUUGGGUGUCAAGCCCGGGCGCGCAAUGAAAGUGAACGGAGGUGGGAGUCCUCGGACGCACCAUCGACCGAUCCUGAUGUCUUCGGAAGGAUUUGAGUAAGAGCAUAGCUGUUGGGACCCGAAAGAUGGUGAACUAUGCGUGAAUAGGGUGAAGCCAGAGGAAACUCUGGUGGAGGCUCGCAGCGGUUCUGACGUGCAAAUCGAUCGUCAAAUUUGCGUAUAGGGGCGAAAGACUAAUCGAACC
Molecule: ribosomal RNA, 851 nt
Filed under: Scolecobasidium cateniphorum
Lineage: Eukaryota; Fungi; Ascomycota; Dothideomycetes; Venturiales; Sympoventuriaceae
Description: eukaryotic LSU rRNA
Rfam family: Eukaryotic large subunit ribosomal RNA
Source: RNAcentral